AGACGCUGAGGUGGGAGUACAUGUGAGGGAAAUUGUCUUCCAUUUGGGUCAAAAUUAUCCACAGUGUGGUGCACUACAUCCCCCGACAAUGGAUCUCUAUAAAUCAUCAGCCGGCGUCACGACGGUUAAUGUCAUUAAAAUUCGACUCAAAUCAAAACCUCUUCCACUAAUGAACGACGCGGGAGUUGUUCGAUUCGUGCGUGACAGAAAGAGCGGGAAUUGAGAUUUGAAGCUUGGAGCGGAAUGGUUUGAGUACGAAAGUCUCUCAAAAAUCUGCACCAUGGAGUAAUGAUUACCAUGACUUUAUGCUAAUAAUAUAAGUUGAUUUGAUUUUUGUAAAACGUUUAUUUUGAAAUUUUAAAUAUUUAAAAGGCAGCAAUAAAACAAUUAUCGAGUUAGUCAAAUGAAAACAUCAAAUAAAUAUUAAAAUCUAGUCGCUUAAAA
Long non-coding RNA from Drosophila eugracilis, 444 nucleotides. RefSeq lists it as uncharacterized. The record is from RefSeq and is a predicted model, not a curated record. Lineage: Eukaryota; Metazoa; Arthropoda; Insecta; Diptera; Drosophilidae. The transcript is spliced from 2 exons.